RNAcentral lists this ribosomal RNA (507 nucleotides) under Cavariella sapporoensis. Its description in RNAcentral is "partial 16S ribosomal RNA". The record is from RNAcentral. Lineage: Eukaryota; Metazoa; Arthropoda; Insecta; Hemiptera; Aphididae.
AUUAAGUUUAAUUUAAUAUAGGAUCUGCUCAAUGAUUUAUUAAAUAGCUGCAGUAUUUUGACUGUGCAAAGGUAGCAUAAUAAUUAGUCUUUUAAUUGGGGACUUGUAUGAAAGAUUUGAUGAGAAAUAAACUUUAUUAUUUAUAUAGUUAAAAUUUUAUUUUUAAGUAAAAAAGCUUAAAUUUUUUAAAGGGACGAUAAGACCCUAUAAAACUUUAUAAAUAUUAAUUUUAAUUUUUUUGGAUUUAUAAGUAUUUUAUUGUUAUUAUUUAUUUUAUUGGGGUGAUAAAAAAAAUUAAUUAACUUUUUUUAAAAUUUUACAUUAUUUAAUGAAUUUUUGAAUUAAAAUUUUUAAUUAAAGGAAAAAGUUACUUUAGGGAUAACAGCGUAAUUAAUUUUUUAAGUUCAAAUUUGAAAAUUAGUUUGCGACCUCGAUGUUGAAUUAAGAUUAAUCUUAGGUGCAAAAUUUUAAGUAUUAGGUCUGUUCGACCUUUAAAUUCUUACGUGA